AUUGAACGCUGGCGGCAGGCCUAACACAUGCAAGUCGAGCGAGCGGCGGACGGGUGAGUAAUGUAUGGGAAACUGCCUGAUCGAGGGGGAUAACUACUGGAAAAGGUGGCUAAUACCGCAUACCAUCAGAUGUGCCCAUAUGGGAUUAGCUAGUAGGUGGGGUAAAGGCUCACCUAGGCGACGAUCCCUAGCUGGUCUGCGAGGAUGAUCAGCCACACUGGGGCUGAGACACGGCCCAGACUCCUACGGGAGGCAGCAGUGGGGAAUAUUGCACAAUGGGCGCAAGCCUGAUGCAGCCAUGCCGCGUGUAUGAAGAAGGCCUUAGGGUUGUAAAGCACUUUCAGCGGGGAGGCGUUACCCGCAGAGGAAGCACCGGCUAACUCCGUGCCAGCAGCCGCGGUAAUAC
This 406-nucleotide ribosomal RNA is filed under the name uncultured bacterium. RNAcentral describes it as "partial 16S ribosomal RNA". It matches the Rfam family "Bacterial small subunit ribosomal RNA", at positions 30 to 526 of the family's 1533-position model. The record is from RNAcentral.